AUGGGACAACGGCGAGACUGUCUGGCGCCAACGCCGUCACCAUCAUUAGUCGCAUGUUUCGGCCGACCAGGAGGUAGUAGGCACCCUGGAGGCCCCGAAGCCACUUCGUGGAGAAUGGGUUCGUGCUGGACGGAGACGGGAGCGUCAUUGAUGUGGAGAAGAAGGAGCACGCCCAGGAGAAGAAGGAGCAAGCCCAGGAGAAAAAUAACGAGCAGGAGAAGAAGCAAAAUCUGGCUCAUGCCCGGUAGGAGUAGGAAGCUGCUGUAUUGGUGCUGUAGCAGAGGGAUGGGCCUCCUAGCAAAGCUUGCUGGGGGCAUUUUCAGGAUACGAUUGAUGCCUUGA
Molecule: ribosomal RNA, 342 nt
Filed under: Triticum aestivum (bread wheat)
Lineage: Eukaryota; Viridiplantae; Streptophyta; Magnoliopsida; Poales; Poaceae
Description: partial small subunit ribosomal RNA
Source: RNAcentral